GAGUUAAUAGUUAAAAUGGUUAUAAUAAAAAUUUUGUAAAUUUUAGUUAGAAAAUUCUUUAACUCU
Molecule: non-coding RNA, 66 nt
Organism: Mercenaria mercenaria
Lineage: Eukaryota; Metazoa; Mollusca; Bivalvia; Venerida; Veneridae
Source: the annotation of a RefSeq genome assembly